This 508-nucleotide unclassified non-coding RNA is filed under the name Hevea brasiliensis (rubber tree). Lineage: Eukaryota; Viridiplantae; Streptophyta; Magnoliopsida; Malpighiales; Euphorbiaceae. The record is from RNAcentral.
CUAGGAAACCAGGAAUGACAAGAGAUGAUCACAAGAUCCAUCCCUGUAAGGGCAUCCUCCAGUUGCUGCUGGCCCAAGAAACCACGUACCACAGCACCAGUGUCCAUAUGGCUAAUAUCAGCAGUAACACCAGGAGUAUUGACCACAUCAUACAAAUGAAGAACAGAAACCAAUGGAUUCAUCUUCAUCAACAAUGCCAAAGGCUGCCCUAUUCCUCCUGCAGCUCCCAAUAUAGCUACCUUGAACCCGGCAGCCCCUCCUUUCGCCCGGCAAUUGGCCCGGUUCAGACCACAACUCUCCUCCAUCUGGAAAUUGGGAGGAUUGAGGUGGGCAGCGAUUCUUGCAAUUCGCUGACUAGCUUCUGUAGUAGCGGAAUUCAUAUUAAUGGAUUUUAGAUAGUUAUUGAUUUUGUAGAGCUCGAGAGUUAUUUAGAUCAAGAAGAAGGGAGCUUUUCAGCUUAUAUAACGAGCAUUAAUGAAUACAAAUAGAAGACGAAGAAAAAGAAAAG